GACGAACGCUGGCGGCGUGCUUAACACAUGCAAGUCGAGCGGAAAGGCCCUUCGGGGUACUCGAGCGGCGAACGGGUGAGUAACACGUGAGCAACCUGCCCCAGGCUUUGGGAUAACCCCGGGAAACCGGGGCUAAUACCGAAUAUGACCUUGCCUCGCAUGAGGCUUGGUGGAAAGUUUUUCGGCUUGGGAUGGGCUCGCGGCCUAUCAGCUUGUUGGUGGGGUGAUGGCCUACCAAGGCGACGACGGGUAGCCGGCCUGAGAGGGCGACCGGCCACACUGGGACUGAGACACGGCCCAGACUCCUACGGGAGGCAGCAGUGGGGAAUAUUGCACAAUGGGCGGAAGCCUGAUGCAGCGACGCCGCGUGAGGGAUGACGGCCUUCGGGUUGUAAACCUCUUUCAGCAGGGACGAAGCGUAAGUGACGGUACCUGCAGAAGAAGCGCCGGCCAACUACGUGCCAGCAGCCGCGGUAAGACGUAGGGCGCGAGCGUUGUCCGGAUUUAUUGGGCGUAAAGAGCUCGUAGGCGGCUCGUCGCGUCGACUGUGAAACCCGCAGCUCAACUGCGGGCCUGCAGUCGAUACGGGCAGGCUAGAGUUCGGUAGGGGAGACUGGAAUUCCUGGUGUAGCGGUGAAAUGCGCAGAUAUCAGGAGGAACACCGGUGGCGAAGGCGGGUCUCUGGGCCGAUACUGACGCUGAGGAGCGAAAGCGUGGGGAGCGAACA
This 727-nucleotide ribosomal RNA is filed under the name uncultured Micromonospora sp. RNAcentral describes it as "bacterial SSU rRNA". It matches the Rfam family "Bacterial small subunit ribosomal RNA", at positions 28 to 774 of the family's 1533-position model. Lineage: Bacteria; Bacillati; Actinomycetota; Actinomycetes; Micromonosporales; Micromonosporaceae. The record is from RNAcentral.